UGGGGUUGUGAUUUCAGGCUU
This 21-nucleotide microRNA is filed under the name Brassica napus (rape). RNAcentral's name for it is "bna-miR6029". The record is from miRBase by way of RNAcentral. Lineage: Eukaryota; Viridiplantae; Streptophyta; Magnoliopsida; Brassicales; Brassicaceae.